Molecule: ribosomal RNA, 449 nt
Filed under: uncultured bacterium
Lineage: Bacteria
Description: bacterial SSU rRNA
Rfam family: Bacterial small subunit ribosomal RNA
Source: RNAcentral
AAUGAACGCUGGCGGCAUGCCUAACACAUGCAAGUCGAACGAAGCCUUCGGGCUUAGUGGCGCACGGGUGCGUAACGCGUGGGAAUCUGCCCUUGGGUUCGGAAUAACAGUUAGAAAUGACUGCUAAUACCGAAUGAUGUCGUAAGACCAAAGAUUUAUCGCCCAGGGAUGAGCCCGCGUAGGAUUAGGUAGUUGGUGUGGUAAAGGCGCACCAAGCCGACGAUCCUUAGCNGGUCUGAGAGGAUGAUCAGCCACACUGGGACUGAGACACGGCCCAGACUCCUACGGGAGGCAGCAGUGGGGAAUAUUGGACAAUGGGCGAAAGCCUGAUCCAGCAAUGCCGCGUGAGUGAUGAAGGCCUUAGGGUUGUAAAGCUCUUUUACCCGGGAUGAUAAUGACAGUACCGGGAGAAUAAGCUCCGGCUAACUCCGUGCCAGCCGCCGCGGUAA